This is a long non-coding RNA of Bactrocera dorsalis (oriental fruit fly), 1908 nucleotides long. RefSeq lists it as uncharacterized. The record is from RefSeq and is a predicted model, not a curated record. The transcript has 4 exons. Lineage: Eukaryota; Metazoa; Arthropoda; Insecta; Diptera; Tephritidae.
CCUUUUCAAAUUUUUUUUCAACUUGUGAUUAGCACUGAUUUUGAGCUGCUAAUCGGAGAUUGGAGAUUUUUACUCAUAAGCCAGUUUUUUAUCCUUUCUGAGGUAUCUUCACAUAGGUUUUGUACCUGGCUGAGUUAUUUUCCUACCACAGUUACCGCGACAUCAUCAGCGUACCCGAUAAUUUGGACUCCUUUUCCUAGUGGGAGUUUUAGCACUUCAUCAUAUAGAAUAUUCCACAACAGUGGAUCUAAAACUGAGCCUUGCGGCACCCUGUAGUAAAAUGUGUGUGUAUGUGUUUAUUUGCGACAUUUAAUACUGAAAUAAAUCUUUAGCUGCGUUCUCUACAGAAACUUCUUUUUGGAGCUCUUGCCCAUUUUGCAGAUACUUUAUGGAUUUCAAAUGCACAUAUACACACUAUCACAGAAAUAUAGGCAAACACUCCUGCAUGUAAGCACUAAUUCCUUUAUAUAAGCGCCAAAAGUGUCACUCCAAAUGCAAAGUACUCGCGUGAAAAUUUAUUGCCAACGUAACUGUAAGUAAGCGCACAGAGUCUCCUUUAGCGGAUGUUAAGUUUUCUUUUUUUAUUUUUUGAAAAUUUUAAAUAAAAUGUUUGCUCAUGUGCAAACACGCAGAUACAGUUUAUCUAAAUAUGGACAUAUAUGUAUGUACGAUUGUAUGUGUGCAGUUAAGGUUGCGUGCCACAUUGCUUGCAAACGCAGUGCAGCAAUUGAAGUGCUAAUAUCUGUAGUUGCUGCCAUUACAUUCAUUUCACCGUUUCCAGCGAUAAUCAUUUGCCAUAGUGCUAGCUCUCUUUCUCUCUCCGGCUGUUAUAAGUUGUGCGACAACUCAGUUAAUUUAACGCGUGAAGCUACUUGUUGACACCUAUUAACUGAGUUUCGAGUGGGUGUGUAUGCGCAUAUACCCUGCAGAAAAAUUGAGAACCGGUCCAAAAAAAUACAGUUCUGAUCCAUCAAUUAGCAUGUGUUUUAAACCAUGCUGUUUUAGAAUGCAGCGAAAGACUGUUUAAUGUAUCAAGCCUAAUGUAAAAUAUCGAUAAUCACUUAUCGUUAAAAACAGCUGUUCUAACCCAUCUUCAUAUUUCAAUUUCAAAAGUGCGUUGCAAAAAGUUAUUCAAUUCAAAAUAGCGUAAACUUAUUAUAUAUGUAGAUACAGAUAUACAAUUGUAAGUGGAAGUUUUAAAAAAUGGUUGUUGACGAAUGAAAAUGAUGGAAAAUUGGAUACAAAUUUUAGGAAAAAACAUUAAGGUUACAAUACGUUGUAUAGUUUGUGAUGCCCCGGUUAAAGCUUUUAUUUGUGUUAUUCCAGGUGUUAAAAUGAUUACCCAAGGAGCCAUAGAUUUUGUUUUUUUUUCAGAAAUGCAAUUUAACAAAAUAAUGCCAUAAUGUAAAGCUUCCAUUAGCAAAAAGUAUUGCAGCAGAAAUUAAUUCGCUAAGAGUCAGUGGGUGGCCAAAUAGCCGACUUUUUCCCGCUGCAGACAGAGGAAGGGCUUUGGAGGAUCAAAUUGUAUAGAAAACAGCGAAAUUUUUGAAAGUUUCUACUAUAAAAAGGUUAAUUCAACAAAAUGUUACACGCAACUUAAGAAAAAUCUGGAGCGAUGGUAUGGUUAAAGUCCUAUGAAAAGUUUUAUGCUGCACUACUAAAAUAUAUAGAUUCAAUUUCACCAACACCAAAUUUAAUUGCUGCGGAGGAUCACCUGGAAGGCUAUAAGGAUGCAAAAAAACAGAAAUUUUAAAAUGUCGCCUUCAAAAACUUCAUAAUUUACAUUUCAUUUUUAUGCCUAAUACUUGCAUUUAGCUUUAUUCAAUUAAAGUAAUGUAAACCUUUUUCAUACAAAACCUAUUUCAACACAAAAUAAAUAAAUUCUAAAAUGAACUCAAAAUUUAUCUA